GUCCAGUUUCUUUUUUAAAAUGCUGGAAAGGAUCCAGGGAAGCUGCAUCAUUUUUAGAUAGGAGAUGACAUCACUUCCCAACUUGCUUAGGAGGCCUAAAGUCUUGCUCUAUUCUUGGUCUAGCACCUCACUUUCCAUUCUCUUUACAACCUAUUGUCCUUUUUUGUACUUAGCCUAGCAGGACCUGGGGGGCCCAGCUUGAAAAAGGAUGUUAGCAUCCCCCUCCCUUCUGCCGACCUACCUCCUCUUGUAGCAACCUGGCGCCCCCUCGACAACUCAUGGCUGGAUCCAGCCCCAACUCCAUUGCUCAGAGUGCAACUUCAGAUUUCUAAAGGGACAUUGGAUCGGAUAAGGCUUCGGAAGCGGGGAUGAGAGGGCCAGGAGAAGCCGCCUAUUGGAAAGAAGAAAAUAAAAAUCUGGG
RNAcentral lists this long non-coding RNA (421 nucleotides) under Heterocephalus glaber (naked mole-rat). RNAcentral's name for it is "lncRNA (ENSHGLG00000047018.1)". The record is from RNAcentral. Lineage: Eukaryota; Metazoa; Chordata; Mammalia; Rodentia; Bathyergidae.